AUUCUUUUAGAUUAUUUAAAUCGCCCACUUUGGAUGUGGGAAAUACUUUUAUUAAUA
Molecule: transfer RNA, 57 nt
Filed under: Araneus ventricosus
Lineage: Eukaryota; Metazoa; Arthropoda; Arachnida; Araneae; Araneidae
Description: tRNA-Pro
Source: RNAcentral